UACGUAGGCAGCAAGCGUUGUUCGGAGUUACUGGGCGUAAAGGGUGUGUAGGCGGUUGUUUAAGUUUGGUGUGAAAUCUCCCGGCUCAACUGGGAGGGUGCGCCGAAUACUGAAUGACUAGAGUGUGGGAGAGGUGAGUGGAAUUCCUGGUGUAGCGGUGAAAUGCGUAGAUAUCGAGAGGAACACCUGCGGCGAAGGCGGGUUGCUGGGCUGAUACUGACGCUGAGGCGCGAAAGCCAGGGGAGCGAACGGG
This 253-nucleotide ribosomal RNA is filed under the name uncultured bacterium. RNAcentral's name for it is "partial 16S ribosomal RNA". It matches the Rfam family "Bacterial small subunit ribosomal RNA", at positions 524 to 776 of the family's 1533-position model. The record is from RNAcentral.